Molecule: ribosomal RNA, 446 nt
Filed under: uncultured bacterium
Lineage: Bacteria
Description: partial 16S ribosomal RNA
Rfam family: Bacterial small subunit ribosomal RNA
Source: RNAcentral
CCUACGGGAGGCAGCAGUCGAGAAUCAUUCACAAUGGGGGAAACCCUGAUGGUGCGACGCCGCGUGGGGGAAUGAAGGUCUUUGGAUUGUAAACCCCUGUCAUGUGGGGGCAAAUUAAAAAGAUAGUACCACAAGAGGAAGAGACGGCUAACUCUGUGCCAGCAGCCGCGGUAAGACAGAGGUCUCAAGCGUUGUUCGGAAUCACUGGGCGUAAAGCGUGCGUAGGCUGUUUCGUAAGUCGUGUGUGAAAGGCGCGGGCUCAACCUGCGGACGGCACAUGAUACUGCGAGACUAGAGUAAUGGAGGGGGAACCGGAAUUCUCGGUGUAGCAGUGAAAUGCGUAGAUAUCGAGAGGAACACUCGUGGCGAAGGCGGGUUCCUGGACAUUAACUGACGCUGAGGCACGAAGGCCAGGGGAGCGAAAGGGAUUAGAUACCCCAGUAGUC